AUACGUAUGGGGCGAGCGUUGUCCGGAGUUAUUGGGCGUAAAGGGCGUGUAGGCGGCUCAUCAAGUCUGGUGUGAAAAUGCAGGGCUUAACCCUGCAGAUGCGCUGGAAACUGGUGGGCUUGAGUUCCUGAGGGGAAGCUGGAAUUCCAGGUGUAGGAGUGAAUUCUGUAGAUAUCUGGAAGAACACCGGUGGCGAAGGCGAGCUUCUGUCAGAGGAUUGACGCGGAGGCGCGAAAGCGUGGGGAACAAACAGGAUUAGAUACCCUGGUAGUCCACGCUGUAAACGAUGUGCACUAGGCGUGGGGCACGUCCGUGCUCUGUGCCGAAGCUAACGUGAUAAGUGCACCGCCUGGGGAGUAUGCUCGCAAGGGUGAAACUCAAAUGAAUUGACGGGG
RNAcentral lists this ribosomal RNA (395 nucleotides) under uncultured bacterium. Its description in RNAcentral is "partial 16S ribosomal RNA". It matches the Rfam family "Bacterial small subunit ribosomal RNA", at positions 523 to 918 of the family's 1533-position model. The record is from RNAcentral.